RNAcentral lists this ribosomal RNA (497 nucleotides) under uncultured bacterium. Its description in RNAcentral is "partial 16S ribosomal RNA". It matches the Rfam family "Bacterial small subunit ribosomal RNA", at positions 28 to 507 of the family's 1533-position model. The record is from RNAcentral.
GAUGAACGCUGGCGGCGUGCCUAAUACAUUCAAGUCGAGCGAACAGACGAGGAGCUUGCUCCUUUGACGUUAGCGGCGGACGGGUGAGUAACACGUGGGUAACCUACCUAUAAGACUGGGAUAACUUCGGGAAACCGGAGCUAAUACCGGAUAAUAUUUCGAACCGCAUGGUUCGAUAGUGAAAGAUGGCUUUGCUAUCACUUAUAGAUGGACCUGCGGCGUAUUAGCUAGUUGGUAAGGUAACGGCUUACUAAGGCAACGAUACGUAGCCGACCUGAGAGGGUGAUAGGCCACACUGGAACUGAGACACGGUCCAGACUCCUACGGGAGGCAGCAGUAGGGAAUCUUCCGCAAUGGGCGAAAGCGUGACGGAGCAACGCCGCGUGAGUGAUGAAGGUCUUCGGAUCGUAAAACUCUGUUAUUAGGGAAGAACAAACGUGUAAGUAACUGUGCACGUCUUGACGGUACCUAAUCAGAAAGCAACGGCUAACUACGUG